UUUCGAAUCAUUCACAAUGGGCGCAAGCCUGAUGGUGCGACGCCGCGUGGGGGACGAAGGUCUUCGGAUUGUAAACCCCUGUCACUAGGGAAGAAACGUUAUAGAUUAACAGUCUAUAGCCUGACUUAACCUGGAGAGGAAGCAGUGGCUAACUCUGUGCCAGCAGCCGCGGUAAUACAGAGACUGCAAGCGUUAUUCGGAUUCACUGGGCGUAAAGGGUGCGCAGGCGGUUGUGUGUGUCAGGUGUGAAAUCUCGGAGCUCAACUCCGAAACUGCGCCUGAAACUACAUGACUAGAGCAUUGGAGAGGGAAGCGGAAUUCACGGUGUAGCAGUGAAAUGCGUAGAUAUCGUGAGGAACACCAGAGGCGAAGGCGGCUUCCUGGACAAUUGCUGACGCUCAGGCACGAAAGCGUGGGGAGCAAAAGGGAUUAGAUACCCCUGUAGUCCACGCCCUAAACGGUGCACACUAGGUCUU
This 476-nucleotide ribosomal RNA is filed under the name uncultured Verrucomicrobiota bacterium. Its description in RNAcentral is "bacterial SSU rRNA". It matches the Rfam family "Bacterial small subunit ribosomal RNA", at positions 355 to 824 of the family's 1533-position model. Lineage: Bacteria; Pseudomonadati; Verrucomicrobiota. The record is from RNAcentral.